Molecule: ribosomal RNA, 487 nt
Filed under: uncultured bacterium
Lineage: Bacteria
Description: partial 16S ribosomal RNA
Rfam family: Bacterial small subunit ribosomal RNA
Source: RNAcentral
GACGAACGCUGGCGGCGUGCUUAACACAUGCAAGUCGAACGGGCUCUGUCUGGCUGUGUGCUGGGUGGGGUUAGUGGCGAACGGGUGAGUAAUACGUGAGUAACCUGCCCUCUUCUUUGGGAUAAGCCUUGGAAACGGGGUCUAAUACUGGAUAUUCCUGUCUGGUCGCAUGGCUGGGUGGGGAAAGUUUUUUUCGGUGGGGGAUGGGCUCGCGGCCUAUCAGCUUGUUGGUGGGGUGAUGGCCUACCAAGGCGUCGACGGGUAGCCGGCCUGAGAGGGUGCCCGGCCACACUGGGACUGAGAUACGGCCCAGACUCCUACGGGAGGCAGCAGUGGGGGAUAUUGCACAAUGGGCGCAAGCCUGAUGCAGCGACGCCGCGUGGGGGAUGACGGCUUUCGGGUUGUAAACCUCUUUCGUCGGGGGACAAGGCUCUGCUUGGUGGUGGGGUUGAGGGUACCCGGUGAAGAAGCGCCGGCUAACUACGUG